GUGGGAGAGGCUUAGUGGUUUGGCGUGAGAUUGCAAUUGUGCAACAAACAUCUUGAGGUCGUGGGUUCGAUUCCCACCUUCCACU
Testicularia cyperi is the source of this 85-nucleotide non-coding RNA. NCBI's taxonomy places the organism in Eukaryota, Fungi, Basidiomycota, Ustilaginomycetes, Ustilaginales, Anthracoideaceae. The record is from the annotation of a GenBank genome assembly.